This is a long non-coding RNA of Haplochromis burtoni (Burton's mouthbrooder), 643 nucleotides long. RefSeq lists it as uncharacterized. Lineage: Eukaryota; Metazoa; Chordata; Actinopteri; Cichliformes; Cichlidae. The transcript is spliced from 3 exons. The record is from RefSeq and is a predicted model, not a curated record.
UACAGUUACUCAUAUUUUGUAUUUUAAAUACGUAACGGCGAUACAUGUAUUCCGUUACUCCCCAAAACUGGCCAUCAGUGAUCAUGUGAUUUAAGUGCUCGAUGCUUUGCCCUUUUUUCUUAGAUUUUUAUCUGUUUUUUCUUUAAUCCCAGAACUCUUGACAGUAUAAAAUUUUAAAAAUAACAAUAAUUUUGUUUGAAUCAUGUUUACCCUUGUAAGGAACUCUUCUCUCCAUUUUCUCUUUACUCUUUUACACAUCACAAAUGGCAGAGUUUGACCACCAUGAAUAGAAUAGAAAUUUGACCCCGGAACAUGUUAUCAGUAGGCUGGCUGGAUAGCAUCUUAUAGUUACGUAUUUUAAAAUGUAACAUUCAGCAGAACAACCCAAAUAAUUCAAUCUGAGCUCAGAGAGAUGAUGAACACUGCUGGAAGACUGAGCUGGAGUCAUGUGUGGUAUUCAAACCCUUCCUUGUGACCUUCCUUGGCACCCCUCCUGGACCUUACCAACAACCCUCACGUUGAACCUUCGUCUAAAUGCAUCUCCGGAAACUCAGGAAUUCCGCUUUUGCCAGUGUCCUCUAUCCUAGAGAAAUCCCCCCAUGGAAGUUAUUCUGUGUUUUAAAAUCAGUGCUUCUUGUAAACA